Long non-coding RNA from Apis laboriosa (Himalayan honeybee), 934 nucleotides. RefSeq lists it as uncharacterized. The transcript has 3 exons. NCBI's taxonomy places the organism in Eukaryota, Metazoa, Arthropoda, Insecta, Hymenoptera, Apidae. The record is from RefSeq and is a predicted model, not a curated record.
GGAAUUUUACAUGUUGUCCUUUGGCAUGAGUAAAUACUAAACAUGCUAUUACGUAGAUACUUAUUUUGGAAAACUAGCACGAAUUUGAUUAUUUCAAAACUUAAAAUCAACCAUUAUUUCACCUGAUUUUAUCUGAUUCGAGGGAGUCGAAUACCUAACCUCUUUUUUUUCUCAAAGUAGAAGAGCGCUAAUUUCCGAUCACGUGGUCGAACAAUUCUCCCGAAGAAUAUUUUCAACCGGUCCUGAUGGGAGAAAGUCUGUUCCAUUGUUGGAGAAUUUUAAAGAUGACAAGGAUAAAAGGAGAGGAUCUGUUUAUCGAUCAGCAGUCAAACAUAUUUUCAAACCGAACUUUCCGACAAUUUAUUACAUCGAUCAGUCUUGGGAAUCUCGAGGAAUCAUAGCUUCCCUGCUCGAAUGGAAAGUCGUCUGCAAAAUGUAUUCCCUCUCCUCGAUACAGUCCAUAUGCAAACGACGAUGCAGUUUGUUUGAAUCUGUUCUAUCCAAACAGCUGCACCGUGUACUCAUUGAAACUAUACACCCACGUAAAUGUAUGUAUGCAUACAGAAUCCCAGAGGUGCGCGGUAGUAUGGAAUCGGGUUUACCCCGGUCGACUCUCUUAUCCAAGAAGGGAAAGGCAAAACACCGUGAGAGGAUACAUAUGUUCGGUGCAAGCGGCCGGUAAUCGAUCAUGGAAAUCCCGUAAAAAGUACCAGGGAUGUCUGGCCCAUCGGUCUCCGAGUGUCAAACGAGAAUUAAUAGUUCGCCAGAGUAAUGUACAAUGUGUACCAGACCGGUUGGUACACGAUGAAUAAAGAUGAGGCCGAUGGACGAAUCGCUUCAUCGAUGUUGAAGAAACAAAGGAGAAAAAAAUGGAGGUGGCAUACAGUGUAGGGAGAAGAAAGACGAGAGGAACAGGGGGCAUAGGAAUAGGUGG